RNAcentral lists this ribosomal RNA (657 nucleotides) under Crepidotus malachius. RNAcentral's name for it is "eukaryotic LSU rRNA". It matches the Rfam family "Eukaryotic large subunit ribosomal RNA", at positions 1 to 641 of the family's 3401-position model. The record is from RNAcentral. Lineage: Eukaryota; Fungi; Basidiomycota; Agaricomycetes; Agaricales; Crepidotaceae.
UGACCUCAAAUCAGGUAGGACUACCCGCUGAACUUAAGCAUAUCAAUAAGCGGAGGAAAAGAAACUAACGAGGAUUCCCCUAGUAACUGCGAGUGAAGCGGGAAAAGCUCAAAUUUGAAAUCUGGCGGUCUUUGGCUGUCCGAGUUGUAAUCUAGAGAAGUGUUACCCGCGUUGGACCGUGUAUAAGUCUCCUGGAAUGGAGCGUCAUAGAGGGUGAGAAUCCCGUCUUUGACACGGACUACCAAGGCUUUGUGGUAUGCUCUCAAAGAGUCGAGUUGUUUGGGAAUGCAGCUCAAAAUGGGUGGUAAAUGCCAUCUAAAGCUAAAUAUUGGCGAGAGACCGAUAGCGAACAAGUACCGUGAGGGAAAGAUGAAAAGAACUUUGGAAAGAGAGUUAAACAGUACGUGAAAUUGCUGAAAGGGAAACGCUUAAAGUCAGUCGCGUUGGCUUGAAAUCAACCUUGCUUUUGCUGGGUGUACUUUCUAGUUGACGGGUCAACAUCAGUUUUGACCAGUGGAUAAAGUCAAUGGGAAUGUGGCUCCUUCGGGAGUGUUAUAGCCCAUAGUCGCAUACAUUGGUUGGGACUGAGGCUCUCAGCACGCCUUUAUGGCCUGGUUUCGACCAAGUUCGUGCUUAGGAUGUUGGCAUAAUGGCUUU